AACGAACGCUGGCGGCAUGCCUAACACAUGCAAGUCGAACGAGACCUUCGGGUCUAGUGGCGCACGGGUGCGUAACGCGUGGGAACCUGCCCUUAGGUUCGGAAUAACUCCCCGAAAGGGGUGCUAAUACCGGUUAAUGUCUUCGGACCAAAGAUUUAUCGCCUUUGGAUGGGCCCGCGUUGGAUUAGCUAGUUGGUAGGGUAAAAGCCUACCAAGGCGACGAUCCAUAGCUGGUCUGAGAGGAUGAUCAGCCACACUGGGACUGAGACACGGCCCAGACCGCUACGGGAGGCAGCAGUGGGGAAUAUUGGACAAUGGGCGAAAGCCUGAUCCAGCAAUGCCGCGUGAGUGAUGAAGGCCUUAGGGUUGUAAAGCUCUUUUACCCGGGAUGAUAAUGACAGUACCGGGAGAAUAAGCUCCGGCUAACUCCGUG
RNAcentral lists this ribosomal RNA (433 nucleotides) under uncultured bacterium. Its description in RNAcentral is "partial 16S ribosomal RNA". It matches the Rfam family "Bacterial small subunit ribosomal RNA", at positions 29 to 507 of the family's 1533-position model. The record is from RNAcentral.